This 466-nucleotide ribosomal RNA is filed under the name uncultured ciliate. Its description in RNAcentral is "bacterial SSU rRNA". It matches the Rfam family "Eukaryotic small subunit ribosomal RNA". The record is from RNAcentral. Lineage: Eukaryota; Ciliophora.
GUCUGGUUAAUUCCGAUAACGAACGAGACCUUAACCUGUUAACUAAACCUACUGGUUUUAUUGGUGUGGUUUUCUUAAAGAUACUGCGCACAGAAAAGGCGAGGAAGUUGGCGGCAAUAACAGGUCUGUGAUGCCCUUAUAUGUUCUGGGCUGCACGCGUGUUACACUGAUACAUACAAUAAGUAUUUCCUAGUCUGUAAAAAUAUGGUAACCUCGAAUAUGUAUCGUGAUGGGGAUAGAUCUUUGCAAUUAUUGAUCUUGAACGAGGAAUUCCUAGUAAUUGUAAGUCAUCAUCUUACAAUGAUUAUGUCCCUGCCUCUUGUACACACCGCCCGUCGCUCCUACCGAUACCGGGUGAUUCGGUGAACCUAUUGGAAUGCGAAAGCGUAAAGAUAAGUAAAUCAUACCACCUAGAGGAAGGAGAAGUCGUAACAAGGUUUCCGUAGGUGAACCUGCRGAAGGAUCA